Molecule: non-coding RNA, 1725 nt
Organism: Durio zibethinus
Lineage: Eukaryota; Viridiplantae; Streptophyta; Magnoliopsida; Malvales; Malvaceae
Source: RefSeq, a predicted model, not a curated record
AAAUGUAUUUUGAAGUUAUCAACACAACCUGUGGCUUAACAUCUCUCUCUUAUAAAAACUGAAAACAUGCGACUCGAGAAUGACAAAAGACGGAGUGAAAGGUAUUGGGACUCGCAAACAUCAUUCACUUCUCUAUUUUUUCUCUAUCUCUUAUUAUAUUUUAGGAAAAAAAUGGGUGCAUCUGCUCCAUUCUAUCGUUUUUUUAGCAGCUUCAUAUCCAGAUCUUCAAGAAACAGUGUCAGUUAACUCUCCUGCAGGGGCCAAAGAUAGAUCAGUAAUAAAUGGGCUUAGAAAACCCACUUAAAAUUAAAUUUGGUAGAAGAAGAGAUAUCCCUCGCAUGAACAACCAUUAGCGCCACAAUCGUAAUUCCUCUUGCUUCCGGUAUUGAUUGUAAAAAGAAAUUUGCUUCUCCUGGAGUUUGAAGCUCACUGACAAGGCAAGUCUCUACCUUGCAUGUUCCUUUUUCUUUUUUUUUUUUUAAUUUCUCUUUAAUUGUUUUAACAAAGGUUAGCAAACUCCAUUGUUGUUGUUGAAGAAUUCUGGUGACUGGUUUUAGAUUAUGUAAGGCUUAAUCACAGCACAAUUUCGUUUUUCAAUUAUUUGAAACCAGAAACUGUAUGGAGUCGAUGCUUCUAAGAUUGGGAAGGGAUUGUCCGAAGACACCAAAGCACAAAAAUUGGCUUUUCAACAUUGGAUUGAAGCUAUAAUUUAACAAUUAUGUUGGGUCAUGAGAUCCGUUCUACUAUUGUCUAUGAGCAAAUGCUUCAAACCUUGAAAGAUUUCUUUGCAGUGAAGAUUGUUCCAAAAGCCAAGAUGGACAGUACAUACCAACAUCCAAGUAUUCAAAUCUUCAUUAUGGACUAAAACUCCCAGCUGUUACUGCAGAGAAGGCAGCCCAUGUUGUUAGCCCAGAUAAGCUGGAGAACAAGACUCAAGGUAUUCACCAGCAAGUUAAUAAGCUUGAAACAAGCAAAACAGAUCUAGAAAAAGGAGAGAACUGUGGAAGUAGUACAGAGUUAGAUGAUUUAGAUGGUGAAAUUAUCAAGGAAGAUUGACUCCUACUUACAAGACUCCCUAAUGGGAAGCAAGAAGAUAUGGCUCAAUGGCUACCUGACUUCUACAAGACAUCACGGUAACUUAAAUUUUCAGGUGCAAAACCAAAUGUGAAACAAGGAAGAAGAAAAGAAGCGUGCUUGCUUAACAUUGGAGGAGCUAGGUCAGUUGUCUGAUGAUACAAAUACGUACAAAUCCAUAGACCCAACAAAUGGUAUCAGAGCGAGAGUUAUUUUGAGACAACGAUACAGAAGUAGUCCAAGAUAGAAGUAAAUUCUGUUUGAGAUCAUGGAGGGUGAUAUAGAUUCCAUGAUAAAAUUUACAGCAUCAAAUUAUUCAAUUUAAAAGCCUAUGAUGGAGGAUCAUCUAUAUUAUAAAAAUUUGUAUGAACCGAUAUUAGGUAAUUCGACUAAACCAGCAUAUAUGAAAGCUAGAAGAAGUUAAGCAGAAAGACAUUGGCUACAAUCAGAAAAUGAGUUGAUAUUAGAGUGUUCCAUAAUGUAGCACAAGAGGCAGAUACCCGCAUUGUUUGAAAAAAAUUGACAGCAUUGUAUGAGAGAAAAAAUGUAUGAAUAAAGUUAUACUUGUUAAAAAGCUUGUAACUUUACAGUACAAUGAUGGAUGAUCUAUUAUAAAACACUUGAGUGAUUUUCAAGAUAUAUUUAAUCGGA